Molecule: ribosomal RNA, 253 nt
Filed under: uncultured bacterium
Lineage: Bacteria
Description: partial 16S ribosomal RNA
Rfam family: Bacterial small subunit ribosomal RNA
Source: RNAcentral
UACGUAGGGUGCAAGCGUUAAUCGGAAUUACUGGGCGUAAAGCGUGCGUAGUCGGUUAUCUAAGUCGGGUGUGAAAUCCCCGGGCUCAACCUGGGAAUUGCAUUCGAUACUGGAUAGCUAGAGUUCGGCAGAGGGAAGCGGAAUUUCUGGUGUAGCGGUGAAAUGCGUAGAUAUCAGAAGGAACAUCAGUGGCGAAAGCGGCUUCCUGGACCAGAACUGACGAUCAGGCACGAAAGCGUGGGGAGCAAACAGG